GUUUUUUCUCCUUCAUGAAUCAUUUUUGCAGAGAGAAAAACAACCAGACCGUCGGCUGAAUUCGUCGCCUCCCGUCUUCAGAGCGAUUUUACCGCAGAGGAAAAACUAAAGAUAAUUUUCCAGCGCGCUGAAUCCUCCUAGCAGGUGUAAUUCACACACUGGAGCACUUUAAUCGUCAUGUCAUUAAGCUUUUUCCUUGAUUAGUCUCUGAAAUCAAUAUGGCCGCCUGCUAGGUCAGUGCAUGCCUGAUUAGCACUAAUUACUUGAAUGCAUAAGUGAGUGUUUUCUUCCUUUUAGACAGAAAGUUGGGAGCUGAGGAGAUGCAGACAGACCCGGGAUCGUUUCAUGUGAGGAUGUGUCAAUAUUCAUCUGGUGAGGGGAAAACAAACACGGGUGCUGCUGCUGCUGCUGCUGUGGUGGUUUUCAUGUUUGACUCAAAGCCUGGAGGUCAGGGACAGAAUCAGCACAAAAACUUACUGAACAUCCUCAGGUCGGCAUGUUUCUUAUACUGUUACAUGCAAAAUAUUGAUAUUUUAGGAUAGACUGUAUAUAGAAUGGACAACGUCUGCCACCUCGCUGGGUGAAACCACCCCGAGAGCAGGCCGGGCUGCAGUAUAGGUCAUAAAUCCAACCUCCUCCAGCAAUCCCUAUAGACGCUGUUUUGAGCUGAGUGUCAUCACAGCGACUCUCCCGCCGAAUGCACACAACGCUACUGCGCAAUGUUGGUUUCAGGAAAUAUAGAAAAAUUGCAGAAUUACAGAGAGCUUUUCGGCUCCAAAGGAAGACUACAAGUUGUCCAUAGAAUAUACUGUCUAUGCAUUUUAGACGUGCUUAUACUAGGGUGACCAUACGUCCUCUUUUACACGGACAUGUCCUCUUUUUUGGGGGCUGUCCGGCUUUGUCCAGGAGAGUUUAUAAAAUCCUUCAAAUGUCUGCGGUUUUGUAUGAAAGUUUUGAGUUUUUGCCCCAUGAACUAACUGAGUUAGAAGUGUGUAAAAAACACUUGGUCCAACCCGAAAAACUCUCAAAAUUAACUACGUGCGACUCUGUGACUCCACCCCCACUACAUCGUCUUCCUCUUUUUGGGGGAUUCAGAAUAUGGUCACCCUAUAUACUGAGGAUGUAGUCCUUCUAACUGUUGACUCCCUUUCCUUCACGUCUCCCCUGCUCUCUGCUCCUCACAUUUCCUGCUUCUCCUCACCUCAGAAACAUAGAAAUUCUACAUAGAUUCUCAGCUGCAGAUGUAAAGUCUAGACUUGUUGCUCGUUUCCUUCGUUUGUGACUGAAACUCUGGAGCAGUCACAGCUUAGAGGUCAGGUCGAUGCAGCCAAGUUCAUGCAGUCAUGUGACCUGAUUGGUGAUUAAUUAUCCUCUCAGGUGUCAAUCAUGAACUCGGUUUUGGGGUAUGAGCUCUUUUACUGACUCCCAAUUCCUCCAAAAUGGCGCCUCCCUGCAUUGCUCCUCAAAAUGGCGACUGCCGUGCCCCGUCCUCCGAAGUAAUCAGCUGGCACAUGCCAGCGACACCCACACCCCGAGCCCCCCAACGAACCCUGGACCCUCCUAUUCUGAUUAUAUGAGACCCCCACAUUCUCAAACUCCUUUCCUCCAACUCCCUCCAUCUCUCUCGGGGGAAUCACCGUCCGGGAGAGAAGCAGCUGCAUCUCCGCUCGCACCGACCGUGACUCGUCCCUCCCUGCACGCCGCCCAGCAGUCGUCCUGUUGGCAGCCGCCCAGCGCUCCAGCACCCGCCUUAAUGACAUUCAUUAAUGAGCUGCAAUCUUCCUGGAUACUAAUGAAGUCAGACGGAGAGAGAGGAGCCGAGGUGUUUACGUCCAGACUUUGAUUGUCUUUGUUGGUUUUAACUCGCACAGAUUUUUCGUUCGUCUUCAACUAAAUCGACUUUUGCACCAGACCAGCUGUUUUUAUAUUUGGCCAUUCCUUCACAGCUUCACCACCACACUGCAGACUUGAGCGUGUCAUUAGUCCUCUCACAGUAGUGCAGAAUCGACAGAGCUGCCACUCUGGCGGCUAUUCUGGGAAAGUUUGAGCGGACAGGUGACAGAGUUGUUGGUCAGACCGGGCUCACGCUGUGAUUCCUGCGUUUUGACAGAAUCUCAUCCCUCUUCAUCCUGCACUGAGGUGACGAAAGUGCCUUUCUCUCCACUCAAGGACAAGAAACAGACAAACUUUCCCACCUGAGGACUUUUUAAGACUGAAAAUGAUCUUUUUCACUUUUGUGUAAAUCACUUUUUAAGGUGGAUCUUGCUGCUCUGUGUCUGGAGCAAAUUGAAAAUUGGGAAGUUAAAAAUAAACCUGGGUGGCCCAUCAGGUAUCCUCUAUUUGAGAAACAUUCGCCUCGGUGGAGGAUAGUGACCAGAGAUCAUCUGGAUCAGGGGUGAGCGAUUAAUUUUUACAUGGGGCCACAUGAGAAACCCGAAC
RNAcentral lists this long non-coding RNA (2439 nucleotides) under Xyrichtys novacula (pearly razorfish). The record is from RNAcentral. Lineage: Eukaryota; Metazoa; Chordata; Actinopteri; Labriformes; Labridae.